Xenia sp. Carnegie-2017 is the source of this 490-nucleotide long non-coding RNA. RefSeq lists it as uncharacterized. The transcript is spliced from 2 exons. The record is from RefSeq and is a predicted model, not a curated record. NCBI's taxonomy places the organism in Eukaryota, Metazoa, Cnidaria, Anthozoa, Malacalcyonacea, Xeniidae.
UCAAUAAAACUUUAACAUGUGUUAUGACUAUUGUAAAAUUUGAAGAACAGAAGUACUGUAUUUUUUCACAUUGCGUAUUUGAGUUUUAAUUGUAGCUUUUUGUUGUCACCAUUUUGUAUCGUCUUCAUCACGUGACGUGUUCAUGUUUAUUUUUUGAAGAUUUUGUUGCAAGCAAUGUUGGAAUCCUAUUUAUUUGAUUGGUCCUUACUGCUGUCAUUGGCUUUACGUGAUGGACCGUUAGUUAACCAAGUCGUUCAAGAUAUUUUGUUGUCUGGCAUUGAUGAACUAGCUCUGGAAAACUUCAUUCGUCUUAGAGAUGGCAUAAAAAACUUAGAAAAUUGGGCACAGCGUGAAUGGGAUACAGUGUAUUUUUUGGUCUGUUUAAACCACAAUGGAGUGCUCUUUCCGAUUUGAUAACUUCAGUUACCACUCGCUUGGCAGAAGCUCAGAAAACAAGCGCUAGAGUAUCUGAGCAAGUAGAUGUUGACAA